RNAcentral lists this ribosomal RNA (499 nucleotides) under uncultured Sphingobacteriales bacterium. Its description in RNAcentral is "bacterial SSU rRNA". It matches the Rfam family "Bacterial small subunit ribosomal RNA", at positions 903 to 1382 of the family's 1533-position model. The record is from RNAcentral. Lineage: Bacteria; Pseudomonadati; Bacteroidota; Sphingobacteriia; Sphingobacteriales.
UUGCCAGCCCGCUCAGAACUUAAAUGAAUUGACGGGGGCCCGCACAAGGCGAGGAGCAUGUGGUUAAUUCGAUGAUACGCGAGGAACCUUACCUGGGCUCGAACGUAAGAUGACUGUAGGUGAAAGCUUACAUCUCUUCGGAGCAUUUUACGAGGUGCUGCAUGGUUGUCGUCAGCUCGUGCCGUGAGGUGUCGGGUUAAGUCCCAUAACGAGCGCAACCCCUACCUUUAGUUGCCAUCAGGUUAAGCUGGGGACUCUAAAGGAACUGCCUACGCAAGUAGUGAGGAAGGCGGGGAUGACGUCAAAUCAGCACGGCCCUUACGUCCAGGGCUACACACGUGCUACAAUGGCCGAUACAGAGGGCAGCUACCUGGUGACAGGAUGCAAAUCUCCAAAGUCGGUCUCAGUUCGGAUCGGAGUCUGCAACCCGACUCCGUGAAGUUGGAUUCGCUAGUAAUCGCGCAUCAGCCAUGGCGCGGUGAAUACGUUCCCGGGCCUU